RNAcentral lists this ribosomal RNA (484 nucleotides) under uncultured bacterium. RNAcentral's name for it is "partial 16S ribosomal RNA". It matches the Rfam family "Bacterial small subunit ribosomal RNA", at positions 30 to 507 of the family's 1533-position model. The record is from RNAcentral.
AUUGAACGCUGGCGGCAGGCCUAACACAUGCAAGUCGAGCGGAUGAAGGGGGCUUGCUCCUGGAUUCAGCGGCGGACGGGUGAGUAAUGCCUAGGAAUCUGCCUGGUAGUGGGGGAUAACGUCCGGAAACGGGCGCUAAUACCGCAUACGUCCUGAGGGAGAAAGUGGGGGAUCUUCGGACCUCACGCUAUCAGAUGAGCCUAGGUCGGAUUAGCUAGUUGGUGGGGUAAAGGCCUACCAAGGCGACGAUCCGUAACUGGUCUGAGAGGAUGAUCAGUCACACUGGAACUGAGACACGGUCCAGACUCCUACGGGAGGCAGCAGUGGGGAAUAUUGGACAAUGGGCGAAAGCCUGAUCCAGCCAUGCUGCGUGUGUGAAGAAGGUCUUCGGAUUGUAAAGCACUUUAAGUUGGGAGGAAGGGCAGUAAGUUAAUACCUUGCUGUUUUGACGUUACCAACAGAAUAAGCACCGGCUAACUUCGUG